GACGAACGCUGGCGGCGUGCUUAACACAUGCAAGUCGAACGGGUCUGCCCUGUUUUUUGCGGGGUGGGUCAGUGGCGAACGGGUGAGUAACACGGGAGUAACCUGCCCCUCACUUCUGGAUAACCUCUGGAAAGGGUGGCUAAUACGGGGUUGUCUUUCUGUGCCGCAUGGUUUGGCUGUGAAAGAUUCACUUUUUUUGUGUUUUGGUUGGGUACGGGCUCGCUUCCUAUCAGCUUGUUGGUGGGGUGAUGGCCUGCCAAGGCUUUGAAGGGUAGCCGGCCUGAGAGGGUGGGCCGUAACAGUGGGAAUGCGAGACCGACACGCCUACUGCGGGCGGCAGCAGUGGGGGGUACGGCAUGAUGGGAGGAAGGCUGAUGCAGCGACGUCGCGUGAGGGAUGGAGGUCGUCGGGUUGUGAACCUCUUUCGGCGGUGAAGAAGGUCCUGCUUUUUGGGGUGGGGUUGAAGGUAGCCGGGUCAUGAAGCGACGGCUAACUACGUG
Molecule: ribosomal RNA, 500 nt
Filed under: uncultured bacterium
Lineage: Bacteria
Description: partial 16S ribosomal RNA
Rfam family: Bacterial small subunit ribosomal RNA
Source: RNAcentral